AGGGUUCGAUUCUGGCUCAGGAUGAACGCUAGCGACAGGCUUAACACAUGCAAGUCGAGGGGCAGCAUAAAAGUAGCAAUACUUGGUGGCGACCGGCGCACGGGUGAGUAACGCGUAUGCAACCUACCUAUCAGAGGGGAAUAACCCGGCGAAAGUCGGACUAAUACCGCAUAAAACAGGGGCACCGCAUGGUGAUAUUUGUUAAAGAAAUUCGCUGAUAGAUGGGCAUGCGUUCCAUUAGGUAGUUGGUGAGGUAACGGCUCACCAAGCCGACGAUGGAUAGGGGAACUGAGAGGUUGGUCCCCCACACUGGUACUGAGACACGGACCAGACUCCUACGGGAGGCAGCAGUGAGGAAUAUUGGUCAAUGGGCGGGAGCCUGAACCAGCCAAGUCGCGUGAAGGAAGAAGGAUCUAUGGUUCGUAAACUUCUUUUGCAGGGGAAUAAAGUGCAGGACGUGUCCUGUUUUGUAUGUACCCUGAGAAUAAGGAUCGGCUAACUCCGUGCCAGCAGCCGC
This 517-nucleotide ribosomal RNA is filed under the name uncultured bacterium. RNAcentral describes it as "bacterial SSU rRNA". It matches the Rfam family "Bacterial small subunit ribosomal RNA", at positions 8 to 518 of the family's 1533-position model. The record is from RNAcentral.